GAUGAAGAACGCAGCGAAAUGCGAUAAGUAGUGUGAAUUGCAGAAUUCCGUGAAUCAUCGAAUCUUUGAACGCACAUUGCGCCUUCUGGUAUUCCGGAAGGCAUGCCUGUUCGAGAGUCAUUAACAACCGUUUCGAUCCCUUUCUUUCAGAAAUUACAAAGAGGAAAAGGGUUUGGUUAUGGUGGAGGAGGGAAAGGGAGCGUUUAGCCUGUAAAAAAAGAGGCUGUGUUCCGCCUCCCCCCCAAAAUUGUACAGGCGGUCGUGUGCGCCCACGCAUCGAGGUGUUGUAAAAGCUGCCACGGCACUUUUCACCUGUGCAGUGCGAGAUUGGCCAGCCGGUUUAAAAACCCCUCCAAACAAUCAAAGGUUGACUUCGGAUCAGGUAGGGAUACCCGCUGAACUUAAGCAUAUCAAUAAGCGGAGGA
This 425-nucleotide unclassified non-coding RNA is filed under the name soil metagenome. RNAcentral's name for it is "partial contains 5.8S ribosomal RNA, internal transcribed spacer 2, and large subunit ribosomal RNA". The stretch from base 1 to 120 matches the Rfam family "5.8S ribosomal RNA", at positions 35 to 154 of the family's 154-position model. The record is from RNAcentral.